Long non-coding RNA from Haemorhous mexicanus (house finch), 12070 nucleotides. RefSeq lists it as uncharacterized. The record is from RefSeq and is a predicted model, not a curated record. The transcript is spliced from 6 exons. Lineage: Eukaryota; Metazoa; Chordata; Aves; Passeriformes; Fringillidae.
CAUUCAUAAAGCCUGCUGGUGGUGGGGGAGGUGGAGUGACAGUUUGCAUUUUUCUGGUCUUUUAACUUCUUUGCUGCUGACCGUGAUUACAAACUCUGUGUAGCUACAGCCACUGGGAAAGUCAUAUUUUUUAGUUAGAGAAGCUCAAAUACUUUACAUUAAGGCAACAGUCAACAGACAAACCUAGUUCUCCUAAAGAAAACCAGCCCCUGUCUAGCUGGAACUUGUUGGAUCACACUGCUGCUUUCACCAGGUCUUUACAAAUGGAAACUCGAAAGUUAUGAAGUGGAGGAAGAAGGGAAACUUGUCCAAAAUUUAACUUGACGUGGAGCUGGGAUGCAGACUAGGUGUGCAGAGUUGGAAGCUGCUGGAUUCUGUCCUCUAGCUUUAUUUUCACUGAUUACCAUAGCAUCAAGGAAAAAAUUAAAUUUGGAGGCACCUCUGGAAGGUAAUCUGAAGAAAAUGUCCUGCUCUACGUAGAAGGGAGAGGCUGAACAAGACUCUAACCAUCACAAGAUGUAAGUUCUGUGGAAGCUUGACUCCAGGACCAGUGUCCAUUGAUCUCAGUGGUUCCUUCUCAUUCUGACCUCUGUGAAUUUUCUGUAUCUUUUUGAAUUAAGAAACAAGAAUUCCUAAUAUUUUCCAGGUCUUAUGCAAAGCUCUUGGAGAAAGGAGACUAGAUUUAAGGAUUGGUCUUAAACCUCAUGAAAGCAUUCAUAAUGUCAACAUUUGAAAUAAUCCCUGUACUUUGAAUUACAUCACUAUGACAAAAGCAUGAUAUCAAGAAAAGUAUCUGAAAUGUCAGUAUUUAUUUUCAUGGACUUUGCUUUGUAGAGAAUCUUGGACAUCAAGCUCAAAGUUCCAAGAAUAUUCCCUUCAGAAAAAGAGGAGGUACUAAAUUUCCUAUCUUCUUUCACAGUGCCUUUCUUCUACACUCAAUUUCCUUUCCUUUUUCAGCAGCAUUCUGAUUAGCAUUUCUCUGUGGAAAAUCAAUACUUAUUUCAUAAGAAUGAAACUGGCUUUGAAUUUCAAAUGGAAAUUGAACCUUAGAAACCUUUGAUUCCUCAAAUAUGAAUUUGUUAAAUGGACCCCAAAAUGGACUCCCAAAAUGCCUGUUCUUCCCCUGUUUAAAGAAUUAUGUGCACAAAAACAUAGAAGGAGAACUGAAGAACUCCCACACUUGAAGAGUAGAUUAGAAUUAUCCAUGAGCAAGUUCUGGGAAAAGCCUAAUGCUGUGUUAAAAAAAAAGGAGCUAAGAUGGAUGAUGUGUUGAAUGUCUCUGUAAAACUCCUCAACCAGAGAAGAAUUAUGGACAUCACCCAGGAUGCAGACAGCCCUCACUACGGUGCUACAAAGGCAGGUCUGUAAAUUCCUGCUUGACUAGACAAAGUUAAUUGCCCCUGAGUGUGGUGCUGCUACAACCGUGCUGCUCCUGGCUCUAGAGGUCUCUGCCCCAGGAUUCAUCAUGCAAUGAAGCUUAACACCUGCCUUUAGGGUUUCUUGCUUUAUUCAAAAAACCAGUCCAGACAAUUUACAGGGUAAUCCCAAUCCUAGGUUGCAUUUGUAACAUAAAAGAUAUUUUGACUUUAACAUAUUGAAAAGAUAACUCAUCUGGGAAUGUGAUGGACCUCCCAAACAGAUACAAUACAAUGGCUUAACUAUUUAAAGCAUUGAUUAGGGGACACUACCAUGUCCAAGAUAGCAAAUGAAGGGAUUCUGGAUUCCCUGUUCUCUCAUGUUUCCCACACCUGGUUUAAUAAAAUGAGAACAGUUCCAGAAUUUUGUCGCUCUGUGCACUGCAUAGACUUUCUGCUGACUGAUUUCUUUUUUCAAGGCAAUAGAACAGAAAGAAGCAGCCAAUGAUGAUAUUUGAUUCUCAUCUAUGUUCUGUAAGCCUCGGUAUCUCUCACCUUUUGACCCAACCAUCCAUGUUGUUAAGAAAAUCCUACAGUCAGUAAUGAGGACAGCCAAUUCCUUUUUCUGAAAGGUCAAACUCAGAAACGAAUCCAACUCCUAGUUUUCUGAAAUGUUGGAAUAAAACAUUCCUUUCACUUGACUUCAACCCCAGGUCUCAUCUGAUCUGGAGAGAAUAACUGCAAGUGAGGACUGGCAUAAGAGACCUCCAGCAUUCAUGAUUCAAGGGAUCUACAAAUAGCCCCAAAUAGAAAUCCUCUUGUCUGAGCAUUUAAAAUUAUUGAGAGAAUCACUGAUUCAGUGAUAACACCAGGUGCUCAUUUAAAUGCUGCAGUUUAAAGCUGAACUUGCUCUGUAUGCUUUCUCUUUUGAGGAGUUUCUUCCUUUAUGAGUAGGAUAGUGCAAAAGACAUAUUUUGCUUGCAAUGGAUAUACAUUUCCAUGCCCUAAGGUACAGAGAUCCAGGAAGGGAAUGUGUGAAUUAGCCCGCAAUGAGAUAUAUGGUUUAUGGACUAGGGGCAGAAAAAAAGAAUCUUUGCACGAAACAGUGUCAAUGCAGAGGCCAUUAUCUGCAGAUUCUGUAUCCUCCCUUCGCCCUGGUACAGUUAGUGCCUAUCAUCUCAUCCAGGUUUCAGCCUCAAGUUAGGCUACAGGUAUUCUGUAAUAUAACACUCACAGCAUUCUUGAAGAUUUUGGGUCAGGUUUGCCUGUUUGCAGUCAUAGUCUGACUUUCUUUUUAUAACUGAGCUGGCAGCAAAAGGCAAAAUAUACUGAGGAAAAAAUACUUUACAAAAUCUGGAGAUAAGAGAAGAAAUGUCAGAAGGAGAAAUCUUAUUCCCUUCAAGCUGAGACAGACAAGGACAGAAUACAGAAUUACUGCCUUGUUUCACAAUGCAAAACACAUUACUUGAGGAUAACCAUUUGAAUAUGACUUGUUUCCCCUUAAGAAAUUGAUAUAACCUUUGAACCUUUAGAGGCUGCACACAGACACUUGCAUAUAGCACCGUAUGAAACUUCACAUAUUGACAAAUUAGAAUGCUAUUUUUGACAAGGCAGUGAUAUGUCAGGUUAAAUCUGACACUAGAGAAAACACCUCUGGUCUGUGUCUGCAGGUAUAAUCUUCUAGUCCGUGACCAAGUUAAAACGACUCAAUUUUAUUAGCUUUCCAGCUCCACAUUAAUCCUUUAAAUACGGAUAUAUGAAAAUAGAGCAAACUCUUAUUUAUUCUGGUAAUUCCUAAUAUAAGAUUAAAAUGGAUGUUGAUUGAGACUGGAGACCUGUUGGAAAGUUUGUUUAAAAGUGUCCUUGUGGGACUCUGACCAAAGUCUCACCAGCCCUAGGGCAGCAUACACAUACUGUACACAUGCAAGCUAAUGAUCAUAUUCCCAUAUGAACUUUCUGAACAUCAUUUAUGCAGAGCUGAAAAACACUAUAAAAAAAAAUUAAAUUUCAGCAGUUAAGUGGAUGUAUGCUUUGUCAAUUCUUUUAGGAGGAGGAAGGUGGUACAGUUGCACUCACUUCUCUGAAUGGAUUGCAAUCCUGAGUACUAAAAAGUACUGGGUUUACACCAACAGUUCUGGGGCGUUUUGUGAUCCAUUUAUUCAUUGAUAAGUCAGAAUUCCUUCAACUGGAAUAUAAAGUAAAUGGAGGAAACUUGAAUAAUUAAUGACUUGAAACAGAAGUAGCCAGUGUUUUUAUGAACCCCCUGGCACCAAUUUUGAAUAAAAGGAAUUCUAAUACCUGGGGGUAAAGAAAAAGUUUCUAAGGUUCUAUUAAAUGUUUCAAGCCACAGAUUUAAACAUCUGGCUAAAAGAGCUCAUAUUUGAGCAUGGGAGGUUUAGGUUAAACGAACCAGUCUCUGGGGACUUGAACAGAGUCACCAUACUGCACACCUGAACCACAGUGAGUCCUAGGAAAGAAGUUCCUGGAGAAGCUCAUAUGCUAAUUCACAUAUGCAAAGCUGAAAAUAAAACAUAAAGCCUGAAAUUUGAAUUAAAGAGAAAUGUAUGCACAUUAUUAUCAGUACAUAGCUGCUUGUUACUGAGUGACAAAACAUAUUUCUUGCUCCUGCCACUCAGCCUUCAGACACCUCCUCCAGACAGAAAUGAGAGGUCCAUGGGCAGCCAGGGGAAUUGAGAAUACUUAGGGGAAUCAGCUGGUCAUAUCCAGCCUACUGAAAAAAAACAGAGAGCAAACCGCAUGUGACAGCAAAACUACCAGAAAACUGUAAACAGUAAGGAAAAAACACAACCCCCAGGAAGAAAACCUCACACUGAUGAAUACCUUAGUGUUCAUCCACCUCUACAGUUUUUAUUUCCAUUCCUUUCCACCUAUUUCAACCUCCUAUUUUUUUAAAUCUUUUUAAAAUUUCCAGUACAGGACAGUGAGUUGUGUACAAAAGUCUACAAAAUAUAUUCUUAAAGUUUGCCACUCUAAAUCUUUCUCUUCUUUUUCAAGUGUCUGAAAACCCAUGUCUAAAACUAAGCAGUAUGCUCACAUGAGGUGUGUGCCUUUGGAUAUAUACUGAUUACAGGUUUAGAGGGGAUUAUUCUCUUCCACUUACAGUUACUGUUUCUCUUCACUGUUGUGUCACUUCCCUUAUUGUCUUCAGUGUUCCACGCAAAAUUCAGCUAAAAGAUAUUGAACAACAACAAAAAAUCCAAACAGCAGAGCAAUUGCUUAUUAAAAAUAUGAAAACCAAAAUCUAAAUCAACUACAACAAGAAAACCUCAUUCCUUUCAAAAACCCAUUCACAGUUAUGUGCUGCACUGGUACCAUGAGAAUUCAAACAGAAAAAGAUGUGGCCUAUCCAAACCUUACAUUGAAUUAUUCUGUAGGCAGAAAAAAAAUCCUAAUUACUGCCUCAUCCAGUGUGAUGAACUCAGAUCAGUCCCGUGGAAAAAGGCCUUAAGGUUACAGAUGUAAAUUGUUUGCAAUAGACCUAAUACAUCUCUCCCAGCCUUUUCAUUGUAGAUAUUGCUGAUUGAUUUGCUGUAUUCAGGUGCAGCAGAGAUUGUUGUGAUAUGAAUUAUUAUUAACUCGUGAAUAACAUAGAUACAAAUGUGUCAAAAUCUGUUUAAGCCACUGGAUACCUCUCCCCUUUAAUUAGAUCUGGCAAUCUCCAAAGCACAAUAUUUUAAAUGAGAAAUUGAUAAGCAACGUACAGAACAAACACCCUAAUCUAUUUAAUGGCACUUUAAUGGCUUCAAUUUACUUUUUUUUUCUUAAAUAAAUGUCAAGUUCAGUUGAAGAUGAUAAGUCUUGGCUAUUGUUGAAAGUGCAUUUUUUGUGGUUAAAGUUACUAAUAAAAUGUUAAUCAGGCUUAUUUCUUGCCCUGCACUAUCAGCUAUUGCUUCAAAGCAAAGCUCCUAAGAUUUAAAGACAGCUUUUGUACAGUUGAGACCUCCCUGUGGCAUUAGAAAUUACACUCACUUUUUCUUCUUCCUUUUCUCAGAUUGCUUAUUCCAUCAGGAGUAAUUUACUCUAAUUAGAGUCUGUGUGUUCUGAAACUGUAACUGUUUCUCCAGGACAAGUUGAACAAUAUUGUCUCUCUAGUUGCUAUGCCCCUAACAGCCUCAUAAGCAAACUUUAAACCUGAAUAAAUUAAACCUAGAACACAGCAUUUGUCAGACUGGAUCAGACAACUGGUCUGUCACAGUGCCCUGCCUGCCAUGGGCAAUGAUGAAAUGCUUCAUGCUCUUGAGCAAGACGAAGUAUGCCUGGUGUACCCAAGGCAAUAUUCUCUGUAGCAAAGGGAAAAUUCCUUCCUGGCCUGUGUAGGUGAUGGAUUAUUUCCCUGAAGCUUAGGAUUUUAUUAUGACUUUGCUUUUGCUUCUUUAACUAAAGAGGUAAUAGAUAUCAAGUCAGAAAUUCUUAUAUGUAAAACCAGACACAUGCUCUUUAUUCAACCUAUUUCUUCUUUCCCGAUGUGGAAAGAAGUGUUGUGAAGUGGGUCAAGCAUAAAUUCACAGAAAUCAAAACCACUCAUAUCAGUGAGUGCAGGAUCUGAGGACAGCCUGUGGCAAACUGUCAUCUGUGCCUUCUUCUGUAGACUUCACCAUGCCCUCAUCAAGUUUACCAAAGGGUUUCUUGUUCUUUUGGUAGGGUAACAGCCCCACUUCCCACUCAAGAAUAUAAAUUAUUCAUUCUUCUCCCUGUCAUUUUCCAUAGCUAUCACUGCUUUAAUAAUGGGAGGGGAGUCUUGGUUUGGUUUUCCGUCCUUUUUUUUUUUUUUUUUUAAUUGUUUAGGCAUAUAAUAACUCCUCCUUAGACUAAGGCAUUCCUGGGUGAUAUUUUUUAUUUUACAUACAUCUUUGCAAGACAAUUGUUUCAGUCACAGCAUCAUUUUCCUUAAAAUCAUAGGAUCAAAGUUAUAAGACAUAAUGAAGCAAGAGAGUAAUAUUAUUUCAAUCAAAAUGUCAUUGUUAUGACUCUAUCACUUUCUGACUUUUUAAAAAAUUUAUUCUCUUUGAGAAAAUCCUGUGGGUUUUUUUUUAGCUAAACUGUCACAAACAGCACAACUAACAUCAAGCAGAAAACUCACACAAGAAAGCUUUUUCCCUCAAAAAGCCAUUCUCUCUAUCCUUUAAUGGUUUCUCUUCUUUCAGAUUAAAAAAAAACCAAACCCACAAAACCCCUACAUUACAAACCCACAAAAGAUCAGUUAUUUUCAGUUAUUUUCACCCAUGAACAUUAUAUUUGGUUGAAUUUCAUAGGCAUCAUGCUGCUCAGGGCAGGGGUGUCGGCAUCUGCAUAGCUCUGGAUUUUAAUUGCCAAAUCAUGCUAAUUAAGUAAAAAAACCUUAAAGACUGUUAUUAGCAAAUAUCCAACUUGUUGCAUUCUCUCUCAUGCAGAUCAUUGGCCUAUAUGUAAUGUGGCCCUGACCUAAGCCAACUCAUUGAUUUUUCUCCAAAACCAAGAUUCAAAAAUUGCCUUGUUGUCCUUCCUUUCACUUAAAUACCUUUCUGUCUUAAGAAACAUUUUAUUAUCUUUAUUUUAAAUUUUCCUUUGUACAAACAGUGCUCUACCACAGGCUUUAUAGUCUUAUUUGAAAUAAAAAUCAAAAGCAGUUAUAUUUUUGAUCCUACGUCUAUUUUUUCUUUUAAAUAGAAACUGAAAAACACAUGAUCCCAUUAAACCAAAUUAAAAGCAAUUUUUUGCUACAUGAACUUUGCAUAGUAUUACACCAUGUCUCUAAAAUUUAAGUUAGUGUCCAGUGAUCAAAACAGAAACAAUGUCUUUUAUUCUUCAGCUUUGCCUUAUACCCUGAGCUGCUUAAGUAAUGACUUUCAUUUCAGGGUUUAUGUUUCUGAUCUGCUUUUCAGGUGAAGUUGCUUAAGUUCAAACUCGGGAAAAGAACACUUUUAAAAGAAAAAUUUUAAAAUAAAGCUGUUACUCCCCUAUUUUUGCUCAAAUACUGCAUGUAAAAGUAGGAAGUUUAAACGUUUGGUUGAGAAAAAGAGAAACAGCUUUUAAAGACAUAAAUAUCUCAAUAAUAGUUGCAAUCCUUCCAUAUAGGAGUGGUGUAAUUAUGACUGGUCCAGAAAAGAGGGUGGCAGUGGAAAGGACAUUAAUGGGGUAUUUAUAAAGAAGAAAACAAUAUUUCAGAAUGAAAUAGCACUGCACUGAAACAGUUGCAAUGCUCCAUAAAAUCGCUGGAAUUGAGCAACAUAUUAAAAAUGCCACGUAUCUCUUUUUCCUAUGACAAGAAAAUACAUCUAACUUUGAAGGAUAAUGGCAUCUUUUAUGGCACAUCCUUCGUGCACACAGUUGCAUCACCUUCAAGAGUGCACAAAUUCACUUUUAAAAGUUUGUGCAGGGCCUUGAAAAAUAGAUAACACAUUCAGUGAACCUGUUGUAAUUCUAAGAGGAGUGAACAAACAAUUUGCAGUAUUACUGAGUGAGGCUAGAGCCAUCUUAACUUAUGCAGGUGUCAUAAUUUGCAUUAAAAAGCUCAAAACAGAUGUUAGGGGGUUUCUCAGCAUAUAACAAAUGCAAAGCAUCACACACAUGUAGACUUUCUCUUACAUGAAUAACUUUGUCCAUACACAUUGGAAUAUGUCUUCUGAAUAUGUACUUACUAUGUUCACAAGCAAUAUCUAGGAUAAAAUUUUAUGGAAAGGAUUUCUGCAUUGAUAUGACAUUUACCCCCUACAUUUUUUCUAAACUCCACUUUUGGUGACCCAUAUUUCAAGAAAGUAAUCCCAAAACAGAUAUACUGUGCAUUUUAAAUAAAAAAAAGAACAUAUUGUGGGUGAUAGAUAUAUUUCUGAGCAUGUCAACUUUGCAAGCACAGAGCUCAGGCAGUAAGUUUUCUCUAAUGCCAAAUACUUUCUUAUCUUCGAAUGAAUGUGGCAAAAAACAACAACAACAAAACAAACAAACAAAAACCCCAAACAAACAAAACCUCAAAAAACAAAUGAACAAACAAAAAGCCCAUGAAAAAAAACCUCAGUCUAGGAGCUAUACUGCCACAAGGACCUAUAGACAAGAUGCAGGAGGCCAUUUCUUAAAAGCACUUUCUGUCCUUGGUGAACCCAGGACUGUGUUACUAAGUCUUUCCCUUGGUUAGGAGGAAUAGUGAUUCCACACACUCUGCAGUAUAACACACUCUUUAAUAAGGAAUGAACUUAGUAAUGAUGUGAAUAACAAAACACAGCAAGAAAGACAAAAUUCACAAACCCAGCUUUGCAAAGUUUUAGAGCAGCUAAAGUUCUGAAACUACUUAGCUUUUAAAAAUCCCAGUCAGUGAAACUUUCAGCAUGUUUGAGUGUAAUUUAGCUCUCUUGUUAUCUCUGGUUAUUAGCUUGAUGGAAGCUGAUGUAGGUUAGCAUCUUAACAAUUUGGUAGUUCAUGCUGUAGCACUGAACACAGAGGACAUUUUAAUUCACAUGGUGACAUUUGGAGCCAGACUAUAAAACCUCAUAAAUAUUAUAUAUUCCAUUAUUUGCUUCUUAUAAAGGGGAUUACCAUAUGAAAACCCAAAUAUUGGCUGCAUGUAAGGAAAAGGAAUCAGAGUAUGCAAAAAACAAAAGUUUGUAAAUUUGGGAGGCUAAAGAAGGAAGAACACAAAGUUAUUGAUUUAGGCACUACUUUUCUCUAACAACUGCCUGGGUAUUUAAAGCUUGCAGUGGCAAACAGAAUAACCCUCUGUCCACUCAAAAUUCACACCUUCCAGAUAAUAUAUUGUCAUUAAAGUAGUAAGAUUCUGUAAAAGUUGAAUAAACCAAUCUGCAAGUUACCUUUCUGUCUGAGUGGAGCAUUUCUCUAAAUGUUACCCAAUCAUCUAGCAAUUAAUGCAGGGGAACAGAGCCUUAAGACUUCAGUCUCAAAUGAUAAACCUCAGAAUAACUACAGUCAAGGUGUGUAUGUGAGUGUGUGUGCAUGCAUGUAAAAAUAGCUCAUGUUCCACUGUUUGCUGAUUAAUCUCUCUCAACUAAUCAAUUAAUAAAUAAGCAACAGAAUAUGAAUUGUUUUUAAGUCAAAUAAAUAAGUCUCAUCCUUCAUUUGGUCCAAAUUCCACCAGUGACUCCUAGAACCACUGAUUUAAAUGUUUGGGGGUUUUUUGUAUAUUUAUUUAAGCAUAUUUCUUUAUCUUACCAUUUCAAGCAUCACUGAGGGUAUUUGAUUGUCCUUUCCUGAGCUGUUCGGAGAGCAUCAUUAUCCUCUCUGAUUAUAAUUCCCAGCUUAGCUGACUGUAUCACCUUCAAAACUUUAUUUGAGAACUUACCUAAUUAGCCUUUGAACCACUAAUUGGCUAUUAUCUGCAGAUCUCUUUGCUUUUUCUUUCACAGAAGGUUUUGUUCCUUUCAUUAUGGGAACAUAGAAAUUGCCAUCCUGGGACAAAACAAUGGGUCACAUAGUCUCAUAUCCUCUCUCCUACCGGAGCAAAGACAAGACCUCUCAAGCAGGUGUUCAGCACCCCGAGCCUGCUCCUGUCAUUAUCUCAUCUGCAAGGCUUCCACUGAAAUAAAAGGCCCUGAACAUUUCUCCUUUGGCUGUAUGUGGGCAUUGAACAGAUGUCUUCAUUGAACAGUCCAUGGUGACAUUUUAUUUUUUUUUUUUUCCCUGAGAGAUUACAGCUAAUUCAGAACUUAAUCACAUCUACAAAUAGUGUAGAUGUCAUUCCCAAACAGCUCAUAUGUACUGGUCUGGGUACUGUGCCCCUUAAUGCUGCUAAUUACAAGUUGGCUGUGCAGGCAUACAUCUUGUGAAAGAAGCAAAUUUAAGCUCUAAACCUUUUCCCAACCAAGAUGUCUUUUUUGAUUUCAAUGGAAAACUUGCACUUUUUAGCCUUACAAGAAAUUACAAUUAUUUUAUCAUAACAGCCUGAUAAAAUUUUAUCCUAACAGCCUUAUAAAUAUUUGGCUUAAUUUAAUAGAAGAACAUCUCUCAUAUAUCUUCAAUGAUAAACCAUAAGAAAUGACAAAUCAUCGUCUUUAAAACAUUUUAAAAGUUUGAUUCCCAGUAUUGCCAACCUUAUCUAUUUAAACUUUUUGAACUAAGCUCCAGAGAUUCCCAACCCACAUGAAAAAAACCCCAAGACUUUUAUCAAGUGUUCAACAGACUGCUGAAAUAAUGAGGGGAUGGCUUAUUUAUCCACCUUCAGAUAUUUGAAAGUCUGAGUUAUCCCUCUGAAAAGAUAACACUAAAGAAAAAUAGUCAAGCACAGCUCUUUAUUUCAGUAAAAAAAAUGAGGGGAAAGAAGAAAGAGGAGUACCCCUGGAACACUGAUCCCCACAAUUCAAGAUGUGCACAGACUAGAGAGGGUCCACAGAAGGGCCAAGAAGAUCAUCAAAGCGCUGCAGAACCUUCUCUGUGAAGAAAGACUGAUCGAGUUAGGUCUUUCCUCCAUGGAGAACAGAAAUACAAGUCAGGACCUCGUCACAGUCUGCUAGCAUUAAAGGGCAAAGAGGGCAGAAGUUCUCUCUCCACCAGGAGCCACCUGGAGAACACAUGGGAAAAAAGUGUCCCUCAGUGAUCCUGGAGCCAUCUUUAGAAGAACAUUCAUGGGAUGUAAGAUUCUUCUUUUAGAAAGGCUACAAAGGGGACAACAUGAAAAAUAUUGGAUCUGCUGAAGUAAGGCAGUAAAUAAUGUGGCAACUUAUCCUUCACAAGCAGAGAAGAGGACAUGGCUACAGGAGCAUUUCCAUUCAUAGCAGACAAUUGCUAACUGCCUCUUUAAUCUGAGACUACUGCUUAAAGGAAAAGGUCUGUCAGGCAGUAGAGUGGAAGAGUGUCAUCAGGCUCCUGCCCUCGAGUGUCAUCAGGCUCCUGCCCUGGAAGGGAGCUAAUUUUACAGCACCCAGGCUGAUACCUCAGCCUCUCUGUGCAAAGGUUUUGUUCCCACACUGCUCCUGAGAACUAACCAGCAACAAACCCAAGUGCUUUAACAGAGCCAUCUGGAAACAGGAAACUAUGCAGGUCUGAGCUGAAAAGUGACAGUUACUAAUGGCUGCCACAGCCCAGAGAAUCUGCUGCCAUCUGCCUCCCUGCUGACUUUGGAUGCAUUUCCACCUGGUAGGGCCAUAGCCCACAGCUGAACCUUUGCUGAAAAGCAGGAUGUAAACAGAGCCACAUAUUAGGAUAAUGAAACAAAAUUAGUGCUCCUGUCCAGAGACAGCUUGGGAGUGAAGGGUCCCAAGGUUAUAUAAGAAAGUUCAGCCUGAACCUCAUUAAGGACCACUGCAAUCUACUGCACCCCACAUCUUGCAGUAUUAAAGGUUACCUGGUCCUGCAGUGGACAAGGUGACAGCACAUGGCAAUUCUGCUUUUUAAAGUGCUGGUGUUGAAAAGCCCCCACAAGCUCUGUGACUAGUACAGAACAAAGUUUUAAGCUUUAUUUAUUUGCUUGGAGGGAUUUACAUCAAAUCAGCCAGUAUCUCUUCCCUACAUCAACAUUUAUUUCAGUAGAACUACUUUUCAAACUUACAAAUGCAGAAGAAAAUAAACAAACAUAUAAUGAUCAUAAAUGUUUCCGAAAUUACAUUAUCUGAGUACUUUAAGAUAGUUACCUAUUUGUCUUUCUUUCUACCUUGUUUCUGUGUGGAUUACUUAAGAAACACCCUGUAAGGAACAACUGGUCUUUUACUUUGCUAAUAUUAUAUGAUUUUUCAAAUACUUGUAUUUUAAAUACAUUGAAGAGUAACUGUUUUGAA